Molecule: ribosomal RNA, 165 nt
Filed under: Alyssum reiseri
Lineage: Eukaryota; Viridiplantae; Streptophyta; Magnoliopsida; Brassicales; Brassicaceae
Description: 5.8S ribosomal RNA
Rfam family: 5.8S ribosomal RNA
About the family: 5.8S ribosomal RNA (5.8S rRNA) is a component of the large subunit of the eukaryotic ribosome. It is transcribed by RNA polymerase I as part of the 45S precursor that also contains 18S and 28S rRNA. Functionally, it is thought that 5.8S rRNA may be involved in ribosome translocation.
Source: RNAcentral
AAAACGGCUCUCGGCAACGGAUAUCUUGGCUCUCGCAUCGAUGAAGAACGUAGCGAAAUGCGAUACUUGGUGUGAAUUGCAGAAUCCCGUGAACCAUCGAGUCUUUGAACGCAAGUUGCGCCCUAAGCCUUCUGGCCGAGGGCACGUCUGCCUGGGUGUCACAAA